AAUCAUAUAUGUUGCUCUGAGGCAAAAGACAUGCAUGUCUUAGGAAGUUAACUAGUCUGGAUAUAUAUAAAGAAUACACAUAGAUUAUUGCGCUAUCUGGUAAUAACUUCGUUCAUGAAUUUCCAUAUGGAAGCACAAUCCUUUUUAUAUACAAAAGACCCUAGCCUCGAUCUAGCAUAUAUAGAUAGAGCACAGUAGCUCACAACUGUUUAUCUAUGGCUCUGUAUAUUAUCUCUAAGCAUGUAUAGUUUCAUGACUUUCCAUUCCUAACAAAAUAGGAAGGAGCAUAGAUCGCGACUAAACUAAAAUAACCUUUCAGUACUCUUAAACAUUUAUAGUACUUAAAAAACCAGCUAGUAGGUUGGUCUAUACCUAGUUAUGGAUUGGAGGCUUUUUACUUGCUGGACUGUAAUCCAUAGCCAGUAAAUCAGUACUCUCAUCUGGUACUACUCCAUCAUCUUCUUUGAUCCCAUGUUUCAAGGUUUCAUCACAGCUCUUCUCAUCAGAUCUAUAGUUACUCCGCGCCACUCCCAAACUUCGUGCUGCUGCAAAUUAAAAAGCCAAGAUGUACACAAUUAGGGUUAGCUAGGUUUAUUUCUGCACUAUCAGAGAGAGCUCAUCAACUGACAGAUUAUAAACCAGGAAUUUACCUUCAGUAGUUGUGAUAGUGAUGAAGCAAAGCAAGAUUAAAGCCACAAGAACAAGGUGCUUGUAUCGUAUCACAGCUGCCAUUUGUAGGUAUCUGAUAUAUUCAAGUAUGUGCUGAUCUUUUUAGUUCCUGGAUAUAUAGCUUAUCAGAGCACUUAGUUGUGAAUGGAUAUGGAGUAGGUUCUUCCUUAUAUAGACUUGUAGAGAGGGAUGAACAGUAUUUUGCUGGCAAUGGACUACGACUUAAUAUAAUUGCAAUUCUGUUGUGAGCAGCAAUAAGGUCGUGUUGAGUCACCAUCAAUGUCUCCUACUGUCUGCUCUUGAAAUGAUAGCUUAAUUAGCUUGGACACAAGACGCUCCGAUCCUUGGGCUAUAAGUGUGAAUACCCAUUGGUAACUACUCUAGUAAAUCAAAGAGGUCGGCACAGUGUCAAAGAAGGAAGAUGCAUUCCCUUAUGCCCUAGACCAUAUGAAUGCUUCUUUUUUUUAUCUAGCUAGACGGAUUAUUUUGUACAUCGGAUUAAUUUUACCACGGGACAACGUCAAGUGCGUGCAUGGUGUACCCACAAGUUUUUGCUUGACACACAUUUGCGUGGCCACUUCGUUUACAGCCUAAUGACUAGAGAAGAGUUUAUGACCCCGUCUUACCUUUGCAUCUCAAGAUGGAGCAUAGCAAUGUGGGUUGUAGGGUUUGCGAGGCACAAUAAGGAGCUGGUAUUGUUUUUAGCCACAAAGAGUUGGCAGAAGGAGUUUCUUGUUUGGAUUCGAUGUAAGAAAAACUUUGGCUUAUCUGAUUUCAAUCGAUUCGAUUUAUUUUUGAAAGGGAUUUGAUUAUAUUCCAUAAAAAUGCAUGGUUCUUUGCAUCUGGGAAAACCCUAAUUAGACUCUCCUCCCGUACGUAUGUAUUGAAUUGUUAAUAAAAGAAUAAGCACUCCAUGCAGGACUAAACUCAUGAGAAACUGAUAACUCAAGGUUUGAAUGCAUAUAUUCAGACUAAAACACAAGUAAUAGAUGCAGUUGAUUGAAGCUCAGUUUGGAUUCAAGCAAAAAGACCAGUAGACUUGUAAUUGAAUUAACAUACCAAAAAUUGUAACGCCUAAGGGAACUAACAUUUAGUCUAAUAACGAGACAAUUAUGUUUAACGAUCGAGAAUAUUGUUGUUCCUGCUGCAUGAUGAUGAGCCUGCAUCUUCAUAUUGUUGUUGCUGCUGCAUCUUCGUAUAUAUUAGCCAUGCCUUAGACAUUAUUAUCAUUCUAGCUUUAUAAUUGACAAUUUCUGCUGGGUGAAGACAGAUUUCGCAUAGCCCUCUCCCUUAGACACAAGUUUUAGUCAAGUAAUGCGGACAAACUCAUGUACCUGUAAACCAUUUUUGACCUCCUUCAGAGGAGACCAUAAUUCCCCACAAAUCAAUAACUAACUUCCAAACAUAAAUAUAUCAUCAAGUAGUGGAAGAUAUUCAUGCAUCCAGUGAUCGAAGGAUCUAGGUGAUGAAAUGCUUCCAAACUAUCCGCGUAUACCCGGUGGUUAACAAACAAAAUCAAACUUAUGUAGGCAGCACAUUACAUCCUAGAUAAAUCUUAGUCGAUCCAUUUCCUAUAGGAUUGAAUUCCUGAAUAUUCUAGGCAAGGAACUAAUUAUCGAUCAUCAAAAAUUAUCAGCAACUAACACCAGUUUACUGUACGAAUC
Molecule: long non-coding RNA, 2333 nt
Filed under: Fragaria vesca (wild strawberry)
Lineage: Eukaryota; Viridiplantae; Streptophyta; Magnoliopsida; Rosales; Rosaceae
Description: long non-coding RNA (FVES_LNC000230)
Source: RNAcentral